GUUUAAACCCCGCUCUCCCUUAUCUGAUCUCUCUCUCGGACGAGAGCCAUUGAUUUCUUCUUCUCCCAAAAGCCUUGAGAGCCAGGCCUUCCUUUGUCUCAUUUCUCCUCCCAAGUACUGCAGCGAUGACGUCGACCGAGACGGAAGACGCCGUAUGACGUCACACCGCCAUCACCGAUUACCGCAAGAGCUCGAAUCACGAGUCUGGCGAGAUCAGAUUCGUACUCCAAAUCCUCCUUAUUCAUGUUGGAUUCUGCAUCUGUAACCGGAGAGCGUUUCUCUCGCCAUCGGUGAACCAGCUCAAUGGGAUUGAUUCCAAAGUCCAGAGCUUCAUCUGCACCUGAAGAACUGAGAUCUUAUCAUCGACGAUUUAGCUCACCACUCUAGAAUCGUUUUAAUUCAAAGCUCUUGAGAAGUUGCUGAAGGAUUUGCUAAUAGAUUUGCUACUGGAAAUGAAGUGUAUAGCUCUUAUUUGUGGCUUUAGAGACUUUGCUCCAACUUCAAUGGGCAAACAACAGGCAUCCGUAAGUGUUGAAUUUAUCAUGAAGAUCCAAGUAAAGCUGUUCUUUUAAGAAACAAGAUAUAUUUGAAGUGGAAUGUGGCAAUGUGCAGUGAACGGUUGAGGCAAUCCACCCCAGUGGCUUUACACUACCACUUUAGGUUCAUUUUAUUUGUAUUGGUUUUGCUAUAAGCUUCAUUUGUUAUUGGUUCAACAACAUUUGUUUGUAUAUUGCUCAACUUUUUAUACAAGUGAAUGUUCUUUUAUGAAAUUGCAACAAGCAAAGAAUUA
This 790-nucleotide long non-coding RNA is filed under the name Rosa chinensis. Its description in RNAcentral is "sRNA RchiOBHm_Chr2g0168551". Lineage: Eukaryota; Viridiplantae; Streptophyta; Magnoliopsida; Rosales; Rosaceae. The record is from RNAcentral.